Molecule: non-coding RNA, 46 nt
Filed under: Schistosoma mansoni
Lineage: Eukaryota; Metazoa; Platyhelminthes; Trematoda; Strigeidida; Schistosomatidae
Source: RNAcentral
GCACUGCUGAGGAGUCCCACAAUAGGACGAAACGGCCGCGCAGUGC